RNAcentral lists this ribosomal RNA (521 nucleotides) under uncultured bacterium. Its description in RNAcentral is "bacterial SSU rRNA". It matches the Rfam family "Bacterial small subunit ribosomal RNA", at positions 22 to 518 of the family's 1533-position model. The record is from RNAcentral.
GGUCAGGACGAACGCUGGCGGCGUGCCUAACACAUGCAAGGUCGAACGGGGAUUUGUUUCGGCAGAAUCCUAGUGGCGAACGGGUGAGUAACGCGUAGGCAACCUGCCCUCCGGCCGGGGGACAACACUCCGAAAGGGGUGCUAAUACCGGAUACGAAGUCUGUGCCGCAUGGUACGGAUUUGAAAGAUGGCCUCUAUUUAUAAGCUAUCGCCGGGGGAUGGGCCUGGCGUCCGAUUAGCUGGUUGGUGGGGUGACGGCCUACCAAGGCGACGAUCGGUAGCCGGUCUGAGAGGAUGAACGGCCACAUUGGGACUGAGACACGGCCCAGACUCCUACGGGAGGCAGCAGUGGGGAAUCUUCCGCAAUGGGCGCAAGCCUGACGGAGCAACGCCGCGUGAGUGAGGAAGUUCUUCGGAACGUAAAGCUCUGUUGUUCCUGACGAACCUCCCUUCUAUCAACAACGGAGGGGACUGACGGUAGGGAACGAGGAAGCCACGGCUAACUACGUGCCAGCCGCCGC